UCACCCCUCACCCCUCACCCCUCACCCCACAAUGCCUCCUCCCCUCUCUUCUCCUGUUCCUUCUCCUUCUCUCCCCUGCUUUCUCUCCCUUCUUUCUCUCUUCUUCUCCCUCGUUUCCUCCUCUCCAAACUCCCCCAUCACUCUCCCUCUCUCUGCUUCCAAGCCAUCCCCACCUCCUGAUCCCUAUCGGAACCUCCGACACUUGGUCUCUGCCUCCUUAAUCAGGGCUCGCCACCUCAAGAACCCCAAAACCACACCCACCUCCACAACCCCACUCUUCACUCACAGCUAUGGUGCAUACUCCAUUCCUCUCUCCUUCGGUACUCCACCUCAGACCCUUCCACUUAUCAUGGACACUGGAAGUGAUCUCGUCUGGUUCCCUUGUACCCAUCGCUAUGUC
Molecule: long non-coding RNA, 400 nt
Filed under: Vitis vinifera (wine grape)
Lineage: Eukaryota; Viridiplantae; Streptophyta; Magnoliopsida; Vitales; Vitaceae
Description: long non-coding RNA (VVIN_LNC001991)
Source: RNAcentral